RNAcentral lists this long non-coding RNA (513 nucleotides) under Prunus persica (peach). RNAcentral describes it as "long non-coding RNA (PPER_LNC001340)". The record is from RNAcentral. Lineage: Eukaryota; Viridiplantae; Streptophyta; Magnoliopsida; Rosales; Rosaceae.
GGUAUAAAUACAUACCUCAUUCUUGGGAGCUUUAGUUUUAAAACACAAUAUAGUUUACUAAUUUGGAAGAUAGUAAUACAAUUUCAUCUAAUUAGCAUAAGGCAAAAGACCAAAUUGUGGUACCUAAUUUUACAAAAAUAUCAUUAAAACAUAUCAAAAUUACACACAAUGCCACUCCUUCUAAGGCAAGCAUACUAUGCCACAUGUCCAUAUCUAGCCAAUCAUAUCUCGCCGCCGGCCACCACCGCCGGCCACCACCGCCGGACCGCCGGCCACCUGCCACCACCACCGUUGACCGCCACCGCCCGUCGCCGACCACCACCGUCGGACUCCCGCCGCCGGCCACCUGCCACCACCACCGUUGGCCGCCAUCGCCUGCCACAAAGGAGGAAGGCUCACUCACAAACCACUACACCAAACUUGAUUUUGUAAUAUUUAUUCAAUUAUACAAUAUUUAUAUAAACAAUCAAUGGUUUAUUAAAAAAAAUAAAAAUAAAAAGCAUUUCAACACUU